GGGGGGGGGGGGGGGGGGGACGUCAGAUCUGGUGGCUUGGAACAGAGGAGGUAUUCCUCCGCCCUCUUCUUGCAACAUGCUCUGGUAGGAGCCCAGGUGGAGGAAAUCAUCGGCUUGGGAGUUGAGAUCGAGGCCGGCUGAUCCCCUUGCUGGAAAACGGGUAGCCGACACCAGAUCCGCCAUGGGCUUCAGACGCCUGAGUGAACCCGUACUCGGCACCGGUUUCUUCGUGUGCUGCCGACUGGGAGAAGAAGUCCACCAUCUCGUCCUCUUGACCAGCCAUGGCGUCCAGAUCGGCGGUGGAUCCACGGAGCUGCGGGGGCGUGGCCGAUAACACCAAGCAGCGGCGAGGCUGAUAGCACCUAGUGGCGGCGGCGGCGGGGCCAACUUUACUCUAGCGGCGGAGGGGCCGGCUAACCCUGGCGGCCGCGGCGGCGGUGGGAGAAAACCCUAGCGGCGCGCGGCAGUGCGAGCGGAGCGCGGGAUGGGAAAGAGGGGGAGAGAGAGCAGAGUGCGAGCGGACAGAGAGAGAGAGAGCAGAGUGGCGGGAUAGGGCCGAUCGGGCUUAGUCACUUUUAGCACCUCCCUCAGGAACUUAUACAUCUUUUAGUCCUUUUAGUUUCUCCUGUUUGUUAUUUUAGGGGCUAAAAGAGACUAAAGUGAAGGAA
This 668-nucleotide long non-coding RNA is filed under the name Oryza brachyantha (malo sina). Its description in RNAcentral is "long non-coding RNA (OBRA_LNC003053)". The record is from RNAcentral. Lineage: Eukaryota; Viridiplantae; Streptophyta; Magnoliopsida; Poales; Poaceae.